UGUGUUUUAAGACCCUAAAACUCUGCACCUGCUGAAGACUGUAACAAAAAUCUUUAAGUCUCUGCAUUCAUCAGUUUGAGCCAGCGAGACAGGUGCAUUGCACACACAUCCAUGCUCCCUCAGGCAGCCACCAAGUGCUCCCCUGGGGAGAAGCCUGGCCCGUUUGUGGUCACCGCCCUCUAGUUUCUCAUUUUCGCGACGGCUCUUUCCAAACGCAAUUCCUUCGGCUCAAAAGCCCUUCUCCAGCCAUGGCCUUAAUGAUCUAUUCUUUUUUCUCUUCUCUGCUCAACGAGGAUGCCUGUCUACCCAGCUCCAGCCCCUCAGAGCUCCCUCAAAACGGUCUAUAUUUUUUAUUUUUAAAUUUGUUUUGGCUGCAGAGGAUCUUAGUUUCCGCCAAUGGGGAUCUUUCAUUGCGGCUUGCAGGCUCAGUUGCUGCCUGGUAAGUGCGAACUUAGCUCCCCUACCAGGGAUCAAACCUGCCUCCCCUCCCUUGCAAGGAGGAUUCUUAACCAAUGGAUCACUAGAGAAGUCCUAUAUUUUUUAUUUUUUGGUUGGAUUGACAAGGUCCAACAUCCCUAAAGGAUCACCUCCCCAUCCUGAGUCUGGCACUGUGGCGCUCAUAGAUGCGGGGCUUAUCAAACAGAAAGAACUAAGUCGUAUUCCCGUUCUCAUCAUUAAACCUGCCCGCCCUGCAGCUGGAUGUCCCCUCCGGUCUCCCAGGAGACAGAAACUCUCAUAUAAAACAGCGCCGACCAGCCAGUCCCGCGUUCCCAGUACCGCGACCCUUACUGAAGCUCGCUGGAGCAAACCUCCGCCCUCUGGCGGGCCGCCGCUCUGCGCCUGCGCCCUUGGGAUGUAGGCUAGGCUUUCCGCACUCCCCGCCGGAAGACUCCACUAGCCUCGUCAGUCCAGGUGGAGCGAAGUUUCGGCCCUUGGUGGGAGGGGCGGGGCGGGGGGAGUCUCUCAUUUUUCAGUUAAGUUCAGUCGCUCAGUCGUGUCCGACUCUUUGCAACCCCAUGGACUGCAGCACACCAGGCCUCCCUGUCCAUCACCAACUCCUGAAGUUUACUCAAACUCGUGUCCAUUGAGUCGGUGAUGCCAUCCAACCAUCUCAUCCUCUGUCGUCCCCUUCUCCUCCUGCCCCCAAUCCN
RNAcentral lists this long non-coding RNA (1151 nucleotides) under Bos mutus (wild yak). RNAcentral's name for it is "lncRNA (ENSBMUG00000014308.1)". Lineage: Eukaryota; Metazoa; Chordata; Mammalia; Artiodactyla; Bovidae. The record is from RNAcentral.